Molecule: ribosomal RNA, 458 nt
Filed under: Streptococcus sp. oral taxon 431
Lineage: Bacteria; Bacillati; Bacillota; Bacilli; Lactobacillales; Streptococcaceae
Description: bacterial SSU rRNA
Rfam family: Bacterial small subunit ribosomal RNA
Source: RNAcentral
GAUGAACGCUGGCGGCGUGCCUAAUACAUGCAAGUAGAACGCUGAAGGAAGGAGCUUGCUCUUUCCGGAUGAGUUGCGAACGGGUGAGUAACGCGUAGGUAACCUGCCUGGUAGCGGGGGAUAACUAUUGGAAACGAUAGCUAAUACCGCAUAACAGUAGAUAUUGCAUGAUAUCUGCUUGAAAGGUGCAAUUGCAUCACUACCAGAUAGACCUGCGUUGUAUUAGCUAGUUGGUGAGGUAACGGCUCACCAAGGCGACGAUACAUAGCCGACCUGAGAGGGUGAUCGGCCACACUGGGACUGAGACACGGCCCAGACUCCUACGGGAGGCAGCAGUAUAGGAAUCUUCGGCAAUGGACGGAAGUCUGACCGAGCAACGCCGCGUGAGUGAAGAAGGUUUUCGGAUCGUAAAGCUCUGUUGUAAGAGAAGAACGAGUGUGAGAGUGGAAAGUUCACAC